UGUAGAGAUUGAGAGAGUAGAGAUUUAGAGAGUAGAGAUUAGAGAGAGUGUAGAGAUUAUGAGAGAGAGAGAUCAAGGCAAUUAAUGCCAAUAUUCACUAAGAUUGCCAAAUCUUCUAUAAGAUUAGCAAAAUCCUCUCAAAUCUUUCAAGAUAAUUCUCUCUCUCACUCCACCCCAAAUUUUCGAUCACCACCUUCUCCCUCCCUUCAUCUCUCUACUUUCCACCAUUGACAACCAUUAACAAGACCUUCGGAGCUUCACAAAAUCACACCAAAAACACAAAUCACCCUCUAAAUCUUACACUAAACACUUCCACCUCCUUGAAUCCAAGAAGAUCUUUGGAGUUUGAUCUUCAAAGUUAGAGAGAGAAAGUUUGGUUUUGGGUGUAAGUUUGGACACGAGCAGAGCAAGGAAGUAAGUAACUCCGCUUUGACGGGAGUGUUUGAGUAAGGUCUUCAGGCUAAGCGAGGAGCGAGAUUGGUCUGGUGCUAGUGGGGGAAACGUUUCAAUCGAUGUAAUUAUGUUUUCGUAUUGCCUUCAUGUUAAUAGAGUCUUGAGGAUUGAGAUACUUUGUUUUCUUUUGAAAUCAAGCAAUUUACUCACGGUUAUGUGUCUUCAUACAUGUAAUCGAUUCGCCUUUUGCUGCGAUACUCUGCAUUUUAUGAUUCCUUAUGAAAAAUGAGCUAUACCCGUUUUGUUUU
This is a long non-coding RNA of Salvia miltiorrhiza (redroot sage), 701 nucleotides long. RefSeq lists it as uncharacterized. The transcript is spliced from 3 exons. Lineage: Eukaryota; Viridiplantae; Streptophyta; Magnoliopsida; Lamiales; Lamiaceae. The record is from RefSeq and is a predicted model, not a curated record.